CCUACGGGUGGCAGCAGUGAGGAAUAUUGGUCAAUGGGCGGGAGCCUGAACCAGCCAAGCCGCGUGAGGGAAGAAGGUACAGCGUAUCGUAAACCUCUUUUGUCAGGGAACAAAGGCGGGGACUAGUCCCCGGAUGAGGGUACCUGAAGAAAAAGCAUCGGCUAACUCCGUGCCAGCAGCCGCGGUAAUACGGGGGAUGCGAGCGUUAUCCGGAUUUAUUGGGUUUAAAGGGUGCGCAGGCGGCCUGUUAAGUCAGCGGGAAAAGCACGGGGCUCAACCCCGGCGCGCCGUUGAAACUGGGAGGCUGGAGUUGGAGAGAGGUACGCGGAAGGCGCGGUGUAGCGGUGAAAUGCUUAGAUAUCGCGCAGAACCCCGAUUGCGAAGGCAGCGUACCGGCUCCACACUGACGCUGAGGCACGAAAGCGUGGGUAUCGAACAGGAUUAGAUACCCCUGUAGUC
Molecule: ribosomal RNA, 459 nt
Filed under: uncultured bacterium
Lineage: Bacteria
Description: partial 16S ribosomal RNA
Rfam family: Bacterial small subunit ribosomal RNA
Source: RNAcentral